This 315-nucleotide ribosomal RNA is filed under the name Triticum aestivum (bread wheat). RNAcentral describes it as "partial small subunit ribosomal RNA". The record is from RNAcentral. Lineage: Eukaryota; Viridiplantae; Streptophyta; Magnoliopsida; Poales; Poaceae.
AUGGCACCCCCACUCCCUUUGGCAGCAUCUACUAAUUCGGAACUUAAUUUGAAAGCCAUAUUUCGACCUGGACGCUUUUGGGAUGCUUCUAAUAACCAACGAAUGGCAAGUGCUCUUCUUUUAGAUCCUAUUUCAAUCGGAACUUUCCGCGUCGAUCCUUUUUUAUUACGUCUUGUUUUACUCCUAUAUUGGGAGUUACUCUACGUAUUGCUUGACGUAAAACCAAUAGUGGAUUUAUUUCUGUCUUUUGUUGAAUCUUUUUCACGGCUCGAUAGAGAAUUUGAUAAGCCAAUGAUUUUUUUCCGUCUUUCAUAA